AGCGCGCCCGCCGCCCCCUCCCCCCGCUGCCAGAGUCGGGGUUCGACUGGGCGGCCGCGUGCGAGGACCUGGAGGAGCACCUGGAGCGCUGGGGGGCCGGGGGGGCCCCCAUGGAGCACUUCUCCCUGGACGAGGGGCACUUCGCCUCCGUGGACUCCGUCCUGCUGCUCCAGGGGGGCUCCCUGUGUGUC
Molecule: long non-coding RNA, 191 nt
Organism: Lepidothrix coronata (blue-crowned manakin)
Lineage: Eukaryota; Metazoa; Chordata; Aves; Passeriformes; Pipridae
Exons: 3
Source: RefSeq, a predicted model, not a curated record